UACGAAGGGGGCUAGCGUUGCUCGGAAUCACUGGGCGUAAAGCGCACGUAGGCGGCUUUUUAAGUCAGGGGUGAAAUCCUGGAGCUCAACUCCAGAACUGCCUUUGAUACUGCCUUGCUAGAGUACUGGAGAGGAGACUGGAAUUUACGGUGUAGCAGUGAAAUGCGUAGAUAUCGUAAGGAAGACCAGUGGCGAAGGCGAGUCUCUGGACAGUUACUGACGCUGAGGCACGAAGGCCAGGGGAGCAAACGGG
This 253-nucleotide ribosomal RNA is filed under the name uncultured bacterium. RNAcentral's name for it is "partial 16S ribosomal RNA". It matches the Rfam family "Bacterial small subunit ribosomal RNA", at positions 524 to 776 of the family's 1533-position model. The record is from RNAcentral.